RNAcentral lists this transfer RNA (72 nucleotides) under Ictidomys tridecemlineatus (thirteen-lined ground squirrel). RNAcentral describes it as "Spermophilus tridecemlineatus (thirteen-lined ground squirrel) tRNA". It matches the Rfam family "tRNA". Rfam says of the family: Transfer RNA (tRNA) molecules are approximately 80 nucleotides in length. Their secondary structure includes four short double-helical elements and three loops (D, anti-codon, and T loops). The record is from Rfam by way of RNAcentral. Lineage: Eukaryota; Metazoa; Chordata; Mammalia; Rodentia; Sciuridae.
UGGAGUGUCGCUUAGUGGUAGAGCACCUGCCUAGCAGGUGUGAGGCACUGAGUUCAAUCCCCAGUGCUGCAG